AAGGUCUGUAUAAUCUUAAAAUACAUCUUCUGACUGCAACUCAGGCGCUUUAAUUAAGCUAACACCUCG
RNAcentral lists this transfer RNA (69 nucleotides) under Gekko japonicus. Its description in RNAcentral is "tRNA-Ala". Lineage: Eukaryota; Metazoa; Chordata; Lepidosauria; Squamata; Gekkonidae. The record is from RNAcentral.